AGAGGCCCUGUGGACAGGGACGCACGCUGGGUUCAGUGAGCACUGGUUCCUUGAGCAGAACACCCAUCUCUACCUAAGAGCGUUCCUCCUGGAAGGCGAUGAAUUUCCAACGGCAGUCUCUUCAGACUCAUCUCAGGGGACCGCGCAGGUGGUGAUCAGAGGCCGUAGAGACCCCGGAAGAAUUUUAUGGCAUUCCAGACAGGACACAGACCAGCUUGGAGGAGAAGCAGCAAUAAGACUUGGCAACACAGCGAGGGCGUGGAAGUUAUUUCCGAGGAGAGACAAUGGGCCUCAGCAGCAGCCGGGCGAGCUGCAGCCCACCAGAGCCCGACAAGCCUGGGAAGGAAGAGCCGCUCGCUCCCAGGGACGCCUGCAAGGUAGGUAUGCAGGGUCUGCGUGGGCCUGCCUCGGCCACUCGGGGACACCUGGCUUCAGGGAGAA
Cervus elaphus (red deer) is the source of this 441-nucleotide long non-coding RNA. RefSeq lists it as uncharacterized. The transcript is spliced from 3 exons. The record is from RefSeq and is a predicted model, not a curated record. Lineage: Eukaryota; Metazoa; Chordata; Mammalia; Artiodactyla; Cervidae.